ACUUCGCGAAUCCACCUCCUUAAUCAAAAAAAUCAAGAAAAUAGAGAUCGGUUCUUGAUUUCUUGAACGAAGAAAAUCAAGAAAGAACUGUCAAUCAUUCUGUUACAGAUGUCGAACCCUAACCCCCCACCUCCUCCAACCUCGUUCUCAACUCCCACUCUCUUAUAUUACAAUCACUGUUAUAUAUCUGAUUUAAUACACACACAGAUACAUCUCAUAACAUCAUCUAGAGUAAGUUUGAGAAGCAAUCACAAAUACGGAGAAAAACAAAAUCCAACAUUCAUAAACCCUAAAAAAUGGUUCAAUCCCCUCCCUCGUUUAAACUCUUUGAUUCGACUGAAUUCCCAUCAAUCCUGGAAUUUCUACAACACCAACACCAAGAAAACUUCGCUCUCCAUUUCGAGUUCCUGAUUGUAAUACAACAAAAUCUUUCUCAUCUGAGAAAAUGGAAAGAUUAGUUGCUGAUUCCGUGUCUCCACUUCCGAUUGUCAUCAGUUCUUCUGCACACAGUUUGGCGCUUCAAUCAGAACCAAGAAAGAAAAGGAGAAAGUUAAUGACAUUGAGAUGAGCUCUCAACAAAUGCCACAAAUUCUUGGCAUCUCACAUUUGGAUGAGUUCCCAUCUAUAUCUGAAUCUCUAUCUAGACAAGCCUGUGUUGCACCAGGUAAAAUUGAAAGAAAGCUCGUUAUUCCAAUAGGCUCUCCACUUCCAGAUGUUAAAAGUGACAUGAGUGUCACCACCUCCUCUUCCUACAGGAGUGGAAAAAGAGGCAAAAAGGACUUUAUUGAACUGAUGAUGCACAUAUGACAUACCUAUAAAUUUGAGAAGAAUCAGCAAGUUAGAAAAAGAUGGUUGCUUAAGAAGUAAGAAAAAGAUGGUUGCAAGUUAGAAAGAAGUGCAAAGAGUGUAGAGUUGGAGACAUUUGGUAGACUAAUAUUCAUUGUUAAUGUGUUUCUGUAGCUUAGAGCAACUGCAAUGGACGACUAAAUUCAGAUUUUUGGUCCAAAAACUGCAAUGGACGACUAAA
Long non-coding RNA from Papaver somniferum (opium poppy), 1027 nucleotides. RefSeq lists it as uncharacterized. Lineage: Eukaryota; Viridiplantae; Streptophyta; Magnoliopsida; Ranunculales; Papaveraceae. The transcript is spliced from 4 exons. The record is from RefSeq and is a predicted model, not a curated record.